RNAcentral lists this transfer RNA (66 nucleotides) under Leptochiton nexus. RNAcentral describes it as "tRNA-Glu". It matches the Rfam family "tRNA". From Rfam's summary of the family: Transfer RNA (tRNA) molecules are approximately 80 nucleotides in length. Lineage: Eukaryota; Metazoa; Mollusca; Polyplacophora; Lepidopleurida; Lepidopleuridae. The record is from RNAcentral.
CGUGUUGUAGUGUAAAUAGCACACUUGAUUUUCAUUCAAUUAGAGUAAAUUUAUUUACCAACUCGC